This 265-nucleotide ribosomal RNA is filed under the name uncultured bacterium. RNAcentral's name for it is "partial 16S ribosomal RNA". It matches the Rfam family "Bacterial small subunit ribosomal RNA", at positions 95 to 353 of the family's 1533-position model. The record is from RNAcentral.
GUGGCGGACGGGUGAGUAACGCGUGGGUAACCUACCCUCGUACAGGGGGAGUAACAGUCAGAAAUAGACUGCUAAUACCGCAUAAGACCACAGCACCGCAUGGUGCAGGGGUAAAAAACUACCGGUGGUACAGGAUGGACCCGCGUCUGAUUAGCUGGUUGGUGAGGUAACGGCUCACCAAGGCGACGAUCAGUAGCCGGCUUGAGAGAGUGAACGGCCACAUUGGGACUGAGACACGGCCCAAACUCCUACGGGAGGCAGCAUG